UGUCCAGGAAUGGGAAUCGAACCCACAGUGUUCUGCUUACCGGGCAGAUGCCAUGUCCAUGAGGGUUCAAUUCCCAUCUCUGGAC
Cordylochernes scorpioides is the source of this 85-nucleotide non-coding RNA. Lineage: Eukaryota; Metazoa; Arthropoda; Arachnida; Pseudoscorpiones; Chernetidae. The record is from the annotation of a GenBank genome assembly.